UCAGCUUGCCGAUUUAUGGAUUUAAUGUUGAGAUUUUGGUUAAUAGUUGGACCAUUUACUGAUAAAUAUUAUGUGUCAUUCCUUUUUCUUAGAUUAGUUAACCUGGAAUUAGAGGAGUUUGUGGUUUAGAAGCUAACCGGAGUGAUGUUUCUUGGACUUGACCAUUGAUGCUUGAUUAUUAUUUUCCUUGGUAUCUUGGCAAUAGGGUAGAUGGAGCAAUAACCAUUUUCAAAUUUUGGUGUUAUUUGUCGUCCCAUGCUUGAGGGCAAGCAUGAUUUAGGUGUGGGGGGAAUUGAUAGGGUGUUAAUUGUUAGUAAUUUUAUUGUUAAUUUUCC
This 335-nucleotide long non-coding RNA is filed under the name Coffea arabica (coffee). RNAcentral describes it as "long non-coding RNA (CARA_LNC007888)". The record is from RNAcentral. Lineage: Eukaryota; Viridiplantae; Streptophyta; Magnoliopsida; Gentianales; Rubiaceae.